This 229-nucleotide ribosomal RNA is filed under the name uncultured archaeon. RNAcentral's name for it is "partial 16S ribosomal RNA". It matches the Rfam family "Archaeal small subunit ribosomal RNA", at positions 23 to 246 of the family's 1478-position model. The record is from RNAcentral.
GCUACUGCUAUUGGGGUUCGGCUAAGCCAUGCGAGUGGAGGGCGUUCCCGCAAGGGAUGGCCCCGCAGACGGCUCAGUAACACGUCGUCAACCCACCUUAGGGUGGGGGACAACCUCGGGAAACUGAGGAUAAUCCCCCAUAGGCGGGGGAGGCUGGAAUGCGCCCCCGCUGAAAGCUCAGGCGCCCCAGGACGGGACGGCGGCCUAUCAGGUAGUUGGUGGUGUGACG